This 466-nucleotide ribosomal RNA is filed under the name uncultured bacterium. Its description in RNAcentral is "partial 16S ribosomal RNA". It matches the Rfam family "Bacterial small subunit ribosomal RNA", at positions 28 to 507 of the family's 1533-position model. The record is from RNAcentral.
GAUGAACGCUGGCGGCGUGCUUAACACAUGCAAGUCGAACGGAAAGGCCCAAGCUUGCUUGGGUACUCGAGUGGCGAACGGGUGAGUAACACGUGGGUGAUCUGCCCUGCACUUCGGGAUAAGCCUGGGAAACUGGGUCUAAUACCGGAUAGGACCACAUUUUGGAUGGUGUGGUGGAAAGUUUUUCGGUGUGGGAUGAGCUCGCGGCCUAUCAGCUUGUUGGUGGGGUAAUGGCCUACCAAGGCGUCGACGGGUAGCCGGCCUGAGAGGGUGUACGGCCACAUUGGGACUGAGAUACGGCCCAGACUCCUACGGGAGGCAGCAGUGGGGAAUAUUGCACAAUGGGCGCAAGCCUGAUGCAGCGACGCCGCGUGGGGGAUGACGGCCUUCGGGUUGUAAACUCCUUUUGCUAGGGACGAAGCGUUAUGUGACGGUACCUGGAGAAGAAGCACCGGCUAACUACGUG